AAGCCAGACUCCUACGGGAGGCAGCAGUGGGGAAUAUUGCACAAUGGGGGAAACCCUGAUGCAGCGACGCCGCGUGAGUGAAGAAGUAUUUCGGUAUGUAAAGCUCUAUCAGCAGGGAAGAUAAUGACGGUACCUGACUAAGAAGCCCCGGCUAACUACGUGCCAGCAGCCGCGGUAAUACGUAGGGGGCAAGCGUUAUCCGGAUUUACUGGGUGUAAAGGGAGCGUAGGUGGCAGGGCAAGUCAGAUGUGAAAACCCGGGGCUCAACCCCGGGAGUGCAUUUGAAACUGUCCAGCUGGAGUGCAGGAGAGGUAAGCGGAAUUCCUAGUGUAGCGGUGAAAUGCAUAGAUAUUAGGAGGAACACCAGUGGCGAAGGCGGCUUACUGGACUGUAACUGACACUGAGGCUCGAAAGCGUGGGGAGCAAACAGGAUUAGAUACCCGUGUA
This 447-nucleotide ribosomal RNA is filed under the name uncultured bacterium. RNAcentral's name for it is "bacterial SSU rRNA". It matches the Rfam family "Bacterial small subunit ribosomal RNA", at positions 328 to 792 of the family's 1533-position model. The record is from RNAcentral.